UAAAAAUAAUUAAAAAUAGAUAAGAAUGACAAAAACACACAACAACAUUACUAAAUCUAAAUCUGAAAGGAGAAAAUAUAAAAGAAAAAUCUAAUUCAAAAUAUUAUCAAACACUAUCACAGUAUCUCAGUGAUACUAAAAUAACACUGGCUGGUUGCCAAGCCAACAUUUAAAAUUUCCAUUUAGGUUUUUAAAGUUAUGUGUUUAUUCAAAUAUUUAUAUUUUAUUUCAACUUUAUUUCAAUGAGCAAACAUGAUUUGGAAUAGUUUUAGUUAACAAUAACAACACUUGUGUGUGUUUGAUUGGAUUGCUGUUGGGUUUUGACAGAAACUCAGGAGGGGCUCAGAUUCGUCCCACAGAGAUUCGCUCUGGAGCCCAGAAACAUCUCGUCCGAUCCGGCCAGUGUGUGUGGAGAUGCUCAGGAAGUGUCGAGAAACAUGCUGAGAUUUUGUUUGCCUCUUUAUGUUUUUACACAAAUUUAUUCAAUCGGUCUUUUGUUUCGAGUGACCCUGGGAAUCGCUGCGGCUUCCCUGACAAGCGCUGGAAGAAUUCCCUGAAAAACUUCACCAAACAACUGCUUCCACAUCAAUAAAAAUCAGAGACACCCAGACAGUGAAAGAAGUGAGUUCUGUUCCAGUGACUGUAAAUUGGAGACGUGUUUUCAGGCCGGAAGUCUGAACAAUAGAAGUGGACUGAACCCGACUGUUGUUUUUGAAGAGGGCCGUCCGUUGAGUGAUGCUCACUGGCACGCUACUGUCAACCGUCCCUUAGUCGCUGUCAAAAUAAAGUCCCUCCGCUCCUUCUCCUCUGCCAGCGUCUGCAGACACAUUUAGACAUGCGGAGGGGGAGUCGGCAUAUUUGAUUGGUCAUGGCGAUUGGACGGUCAUUAGCGUAAUGGGUUUGGCCUCUGAGCGUCUCCAAGUGUCUCUGUGAGGUGACAGCGCUGAAGUCACAUUAGCGCUCGCCUCUCAAACGUCUCAGAUUGAUGCGCUCUGUCUUAGCCGUGUAGGACACUUUGACGAGAUAAAAGUUUGUCCCCUCGGAGGCCGCGUGGGUGUUCGGUGCUGUAGCACGCCUGUCAAUCUGUUGGCAUUAGGGCAAAACCCGAGCAGUCCGCUGCAUGACACUUAAAAAAAGUCUAAUCACAGUAACUGAAUAAAACGCCACACGGAUUUCACUCUCUGGUCUCCAGCAUCUCCAUCUUUUUAGGGAUUAUGAAAAGGAUGCCAAAAAAACAAGAAAAUAAUAGAAAAAGAUUUGUUCACUAAACGGUCAACAUGUUUCGGUUAAAACAGCAGAAAAAAUGCCUGAGAAUUCAGCCUCCAGAGGACCCUGGGCUCCCGUUCACGACAGAAUCUGUCUUUAUCGUUUUCCCUGAGUGAAAGAGAGAGAGAGAGAGAGAGAGAGAGAGAGAGAGAGAGAGAGAGAUAGAGAGAGAGAGAGAUUGAUAGCAGAUGGUUGUCUCUAAAAUAAACCUAUCCAUUACCGGCAUAUAAGUUUACUGCUGUCUACACGCUCACUGUAACAUCUCUACACUCAAACACACACACACACACACACACACACACACACACACACACACACACACACACACACACACACACACAGAGUAAGAAUGAGUCUCUGCAGCCGCUCAGAGCACCAAUAGAGGUGUAAGACUCUUUAUUUGGAGGUUUUUCUCUCUGCUCUGGGAUUCAUAUCACAAAGAAUCAAAUUGUCAUUGAUGUUUAGAAAUAAAAGAGUUCAUUGUUCUAUCAUAUCACAACUUUGUUUUACACAUCAAAAUAAUGCAUUAAAUUGC
Cyprinus carpio carpio is the source of this 1801-nucleotide long non-coding RNA. The record is from Ensembl. Lineage: Eukaryota; Metazoa; Chordata; Actinopteri; Cypriniformes; Cyprinidae.